Molecule: long non-coding RNA, 149 nt
Organism: Phyllostomus discolor (pale spear-nosed bat)
Lineage: Eukaryota; Metazoa; Chordata; Mammalia; Chiroptera; Phyllostomidae
Exons: 3
Source: RefSeq, a predicted model, not a curated record
AAGGUCCCCUGGGGACAGGGCCUGCCUGCCCUCACCUGGGCGGCCUCCUGAGCCAGGCGCAGCUGGGCCGAGCAGUCGUGGGGCGCCGCGGGGGCCGGCAGCGAGAGGCCCUCGAAGACGCACUCCUGGGCCUGGGCCACCAUGAGCUG